ACUCCUACGGGAGGCAGCAGUGGGGAAUAUUGGACAAUGGGGGAAACCCUGAUCCAGCAAUGCCGCGUGUGUGAAGAAGGCCUGCGGGUUGUAAAGCACUUUCGGCAGGAAAGAAAUCGUACGGGCUAAUACCCUGUGCGGAUGACGGUACCUGCAGAAUAAGCACCGGCUAACUCCGUGCCAGCAGCCGCGGUAAUA
RNAcentral lists this ribosomal RNA (198 nucleotides) under uncultured bacterium. RNAcentral describes it as "partial 16S ribosomal RNA". It matches the Rfam family "Bacterial small subunit ribosomal RNA", at positions 335 to 525 of the family's 1533-position model. The record is from RNAcentral.